GUUGAACGCUUAAAUUCGAAUCUUCCGUCACAGAUUAGGAUCAUCGGAUACAAGUGAGUGACGGCAUCGUUUAAUGCCAAGAAGUUUUGCGAUCGUAGAAAGUAUGUGUAUCUAAUUCCAGUUUUGCUCUUGAUCCACGUUCUCAUCCUGAUAGGGAGAGUUCGUUGGCUAGUUUGGGGGUCUGAUAACGAGCUUGUGAAGUGUUUAGAGGGUUCAGCGAGAGGGCGUAUGGUAGUUGGGGCUGUGGGUAAGCGUAAGUUUGAAUCAAAAUCUUUGGCUUCUCAAACUUACAUUUCGUUGAAUGAUGGUGAUUGUAUUGCGCAACCUGAAAUUAAAGAGGUUAUUUGGGUGCCUACGGAUCGACCCUGAUGGUGAUAAUACAAAUGCUGAAUUCGUAAAGGAAGCUAAGGUCUCUCGAAAUGAGGCUGCUGAAACACAAACUAUGCAGCCAAACCUUGUAGCAGAGAGCAGCUCAUGGUGCCUGUUGAAGGCAUUGAAUUCGUCA
RNAcentral lists this unclassified non-coding RNA (505 nucleotides) under Hevea brasiliensis (rubber tree). The record is from RNAcentral. Lineage: Eukaryota; Viridiplantae; Streptophyta; Magnoliopsida; Malpighiales; Euphorbiaceae.